Pseudocohnilembus persalinus is the source of this 71-nucleotide non-coding RNA. The record is from Rfam. Lineage: Eukaryota; Ciliophora; Oligohymenophorea; Philasterida; Pseudocohnilembidae.
GGGCCUAUAGUCUAAUGGUAGGAUAGAAGACUCCAAAUCUUUUGGUCAGGGUUCAAUUCCCUGUGGGCUCA